This is a long non-coding RNA of Astatotilapia calliptera (eastern happy), 2728 nucleotides long. Lineage: Eukaryota; Metazoa; Chordata; Actinopteri; Cichliformes; Cichlidae. The record is from Ensembl.
UUUUACUGCAGUCAGAUAAUUUUUGAAUAUGUAGCACAGGACUGGAUAAAGUGUUGGGGUUGUUACUCAAAGAAAGUAACCUAUUACACAUUCCUUGUUACUUUUCUUAAAAGUGUAGAUCUCUCCAUAAUUUUCCUCCUCCUGAAGAUCAUCACACACCUGCAGCUGAUCAAGCCUCGCCAGAGGAGCUACUUAGGAGUGUGGUGGAGCUCUCUUCGACGCUUGAUCAUUAUGUGACUACCCGAAGAGCCUGGAAAUGAGAGUGCAGCAAGCACGGGGUGCAUGGACACUUGGAAGCGAGGACACAGGGCACAGACACUGGGAGGAAGACACGGCACGGGGAUUUAUUGUUGUGUAUUAUUUACGUCACUGUACAUAAACGCACUGCUUACAUUGAAGGGUCCUGCAUUUGGGCCCUUCUCCCAGCGCAGCUGUGACAGUUUUCUACAUUCCACAGGACCUCAACUCCCAAAGUCUUUUCUAUCUUUCUCUCACACUCCUAAAAGUACAGUGACCUGAUACAACUUGAAAACAUUCAAAAUGCUGCUAAAAAAUAUUUUCCCCCUUCAUUAAUUUUUGUCACAUUUACAUGUUUUUAGAUCUGGUUCCUGUCCCACACAGCAAUGAAUGUAUUUGAAAGCAAAUCUGGAUUCUUGGCUCAUGGUGCUUAGACAUGCAGACUACAGCAGCCAGGGAUUGAACUACAAACCUUUCAAUUGGUAAAUGACCUGCAACAGCCACUCCACACAGGCUCCUUCAUGCAUUUAUAGACAUUUUCACAAUUCAAGUAACUUGCUACCAGUUCAGUUUUUUAAAUUCCUUGGAAUUUCAGACUUUCUGAAACUAAACAAGUUAAAAACAGAUAUCUGGAAGUUAUUUUCUCUAUAACUAGCCAUAUCAAUCCUAUAACAAUGAGGGUGUUGCUGCUAUUCUUGUAACUCUUUCUGAGCUGACCUGAACUACCAGUGUCACUGAAGAAAAAAAAAAAAAAAAAAACUAAAAAAAACCCCCAAAAAUCUUUUAUUUAGCUGCUAAUACAACACCUCUAAUACAACACCUCUCACUUUAUUUCUCACAAUCUCGCCUGAUGAUGUCUGGUGAGCAGCACUCUAGUUAAACAUUGAAUCUACACUAGUCUCAAACUCUUCUCUCCCGGCUUUGUUUGUUUUCUGUAACUUUAUUCCUCUACAUCUCUCAGUGACAAAUGAAUUUUCUGAAAAUCUCUGAAAAUUCUAAAUCAAAUCAAAACACAAAUGUUUCUGUUCACUCCACAUUAACAAACAACAAUCUUUUUUCGCCAGCACUGAAUUUUUCUAGACUGGACAAAGAGGGAAUUGCAUCCCAUUAUCCCAACUGUUUUAUCAGUGACUGCUUUGGUUCCUUUUCUCAGCUUCAAAUCAAGUCACAUUUUUUCCAUCACCUUAAAAUCAGACCCUUUUUAAAGGGGUGCAUCCCUGAAUCCACUGUUAAGCCCAACAGUCAUUUCAGUGCAACUAAAUGCUAAAUAUUUAGUUUCUCAGUUUGUUAAAGGUUUCGCUACUCCAACUAAUGAGUUGCUAGUGAGUUUUGUAAUUAAAGAUGAAACUCGGGAAGAGAGCCCGUUUAGUGUCCAACGGUGUUCUGUCAGCACUUGUCUCGCACAGGCUCAAUCAGUUCAAGAUAAUGUAACAAAAUAUUUGGCACUGUAAGCCACAGUAUUUUGCUGCAUCUUUCACACUAAUGGAUGUUACGGACAUUGACAAACUGAUAUUAGAGUGUAUUCAUAUUACAGGACGGUACAGUAUUGUUAGGUUUGAAAGCCUCAUGUCUUCCCUCCAAACAUACCUCUUGUCAUUGUGGCCAAAUAGCUGAAUCUUUGUCUCCUCUGACCAUUAAAAUUUUUCCAGAAGGUAUUUGGCUUGCCCAUGCGACCUGCUGCAAAUUUAAGUUGAGCUUUAGUUGAAGGUGUUUGGAGUGGGGGUUCUUUCUUGGUUGGCACCGUCUGAAUCCAUGAUGAUGUACAGUUCAGAUUACUGUGGACAGUGAUGCUGUUUCCAGUUCAUAGCAGGUUUGAACAUCCUAAUCAGUUUCCUAUCAUUAGAGGGUUUAAGUCUUCUACCAGACUAUGGCAAAGUCAUGCCACAUCCAAGUAACAUCCAUAUGUACAAUUCUUUGAACCAAUGAUCUUGGAAUCUACAGUUGUUUAAAAAAUGGCUCCAAGAUACCCUCCCAACAUGUGCAAUUCUACCGUUCUUCUUCUUCUUGAAUUGUCAGUGAGUUGCUCAAUUGGAUUUUCCAAUUGUUCUGACUAUUAACCAGUCCAAUAAAUCAUUUUAUGCCGGUAAAGAGAAACUACCAGUUCUAGUCAAUCAUGAUCAUUAACGAGAAGAUAAUAGGCCUUCAACAACACUUGUUAAAAUAUUUAAGUGAGCAAGCGCAUAUGUUUCUAGUCUCGAUGUAUGUGUGAUGGCCACACCUGCAGCAUCACAACUCUGAAGUUGGGCAAAAGAUGCAGCUGUGUUAUAUAUGGGAAGAGUUUAUUGGGCCAUACCAUGUGCAGCUCUUUCAUGGGUUUCAAUAAAUAAAUAAUUUUUAAUGCUGUGCUUUCUCUUUGAUUUAUGAAUUGUCUGUUCGCUUAGUAUUCUUUUGGGCAUUUAAUUAAAGUGAUUAUAAAACUAAGCAUUGGUUUGUUUGGUGUUAAUACAUCCUAUGUGUCAACUUGGUCUGAUCAGCCAAGAUUUAGGUCCCC